AAUGAACGCUGGCGGCGUGCUUAACACAUGCAAGUCGAACGCGAAAGUCCUUCGGGAUGAGUAAAGUGGCGAACGGGUGCAUAACGCGUAGGAAUCUACCCUUGGGUGAAGGAUACCCUAGAGAAAUUUAGGCUAAUACUGCAUAAGCCGGGAAACCGGGAAAGGUGGCCUCUUGCUACCGCACAAGGAUGAGCCUGCGUACUAUUAGUUAGUUGGUGGGGUAAAGGCUCACCAAGACGAAGAUGGUUAGCUGGCCUGAGAGGGUGUACAGCCACAAUGGGACUGAGAUACGGCCCAUACUCCUACGGGAGGCAGCAGUGGGGAAUAUUGGACAAUGGGCGAAAGCCUGAUCCAGCAAUGCCGCGUGAGUGAUGAAGGCCUUAGGGUUGUAAAGCUCUUUUACCCGGGAUGAUAAUGACAGUACCGGGAGAAUAAGCUCCGGCUAACUCCGUGCCAGCCGCCGCAGUAA
RNAcentral lists this ribosomal RNA (469 nucleotides) under uncultured bacterium. RNAcentral describes it as "partial 16S ribosomal RNA". It matches the Rfam family "Bacterial small subunit ribosomal RNA", at positions 29 to 523 of the family's 1533-position model. The record is from RNAcentral.